GACAGAGGGUGCGAACGUUGUUCGGAAUUACUGGGCGUAAAGCGUGUGUAGGCGGCUCCGCAAGUCGGAUGUGAAAGCCCUGGGCUCAACCCAGGAAGUGCACCCGAAACUGCGGAGCUUGAGUCUCGGAGAGGUUGGUGGAAUUCUCGGUGUAGAGGUGAAAUUCGUAGAUAUCGAGAGGAACACCGGUGGCGAAGGCGGCCAACUGGACGAAGACUGACGCUGAGACACGAAAGCGUGGGGAGCAAACAGG
This 253-nucleotide ribosomal RNA is filed under the name uncultured bacterium. Its description in RNAcentral is "partial 16S ribosomal RNA". It matches the Rfam family "Bacterial small subunit ribosomal RNA", at positions 524 to 776 of the family's 1533-position model. The record is from RNAcentral.